GGGCAGCAGCAAGGAAUAUUGCGCAAUGGACGAAAGUCUGACGCAGCGACGCCGCGUGGGGGAAGAAGGCUCUCGGGUCGUAAACCCCUUUUCUCAGGGACGAAUAAUGACGGUACCUGGGGAAUAAGCCUCGGCCAACUACGUGCCAGCAGCCGCGGUAAUACGUAGGAGGCGAGCGUUAUCCGGAUUUAUUGGGCGUAAAGAGGGCGCAGGCGGCUUGAUAAGUCGAAUGUAAAAUCUCCUGGCUUAACUAGGAGGGACCGUUCGAUACUGCCAGGCUAGAGUGCAUCAGACGGAGAUGGAAUUCCCGGUGUAGUGGUGAAAUGCGUAGAUAUCGGGAGGAACACCAGUGGCGAAGGCGGUCUCCGAGGAUGUUACUGACGCUGAGGCCCGAAAGCGUGGGGAGCGAACAGGAUUAGAUACCCCAGUAGUC
Molecule: ribosomal RNA, 433 nt
Filed under: uncultured microorganism
Description: bacterial SSU rRNA
Rfam family: Bacterial small subunit ribosomal RNA
Source: RNAcentral